GUGUCAGCAGCCGCGGUAAUACGUAGGGGGCAAGCGUUGUCCGGAUUUAUUGGGCGUAAAGCGCGUGUAGGCGGCUAUGCAGGUCCGCUGUGAAAACUCGAGGCUCAACCUCGAGACGUCGGUGGAAACCGCAUGGCUAGAGUCCGGAAGAGGAGAGUGGAAUUCCCGGUGUAGCGGUGAAAUGCGCAGAUAUCGGGAAGAACACCCGUGGCGAAGGCGGCUCUCUGGGACGGUACUGACGCUGAGACGCGAAAGCGUGGGGAGCGAACAGGAUUAGAAACCCCCGUAGUCC
This 292-nucleotide ribosomal RNA is filed under the name uncultured bacterium. Its description in RNAcentral is "partial 16S ribosomal RNA". It matches the Rfam family "Bacterial small subunit ribosomal RNA", at positions 505 to 796 of the family's 1533-position model. The record is from RNAcentral.